UGACUCAGUUGGUAGAGCAUGGUGUUUGCACCACCAGGGUUGUGGGUUCGAUUCCCAC
This 58-nucleotide transfer RNA is filed under the name Salmo salar (Atlantic salmon). It matches the Rfam family "tRNA", at positions 8 to 63 of the family's 71-position model. From Rfam's summary of the family: Transfer RNA (tRNA) molecules are approximately 80 nucleotides in length. Their secondary structure includes four short double-helical elements and three loops (D, anti-codon, and T loops). The record is from Rfam by way of RNAcentral. Lineage: Eukaryota; Metazoa; Chordata; Actinopteri; Salmoniformes; Salmonidae.